This is an RNA transcript of Brassica oleracea var. oleracea, 1369 nucleotides long. It is a transcript of the gene named putative protein TPRXL, with no coding region annotated. The transcript has 3 exons. The record is from RefSeq and is a predicted model, not a curated record. NCBI's taxonomy places the organism in Eukaryota, Viridiplantae, Streptophyta, Magnoliopsida, Brassicales, Brassicaceae.
CUCGCUAGGUUUGCCGAACCAACCUCCCUCGGGGACCUUCUAAAGAGCAAAUCAAAUCUCUCAAUAAUAAGCCUUCUUCUUCCUCUUGAGAAGACUUCUUCUAAAUCUCUCUUUUGACUUUUUAAAAAUGCAAAGAAAAACAAUGGUGACGACAUCCUCUCGUACCAAAUCAAACGGCCAUGUGCUCCGUUCUCAAUCGCCGUCGGGUCGAUUCUGCGGCGAUUACUCCAAAUCCACCCCGUCGUCGUCGUCGUCUUCCUCCUCUGCCUUCGCUUCGUCUACGAGCUCAAGCUUCUCGUCUCCGUCCUCAUCCUUCUUCAGCAACCACCACCGAUCCGCGUCUCCGACUCGCGUGAACCUAUACAACCCCCAGCCGAUGAUGGCGCAGUCGUUUCGUUACUCUCUCGACAGCAGAUCCAUCUCGCCUACCAACAGAUCCAUCUCCGUUACGAAGAAGCCGCAGCCUAGCAGCCACCACCACCACAAGAUCUCUUCCUCCCCGAGGAGGUGUAUGUGCUCUCCGACGACGCAUCCUGGAUCUUUCCGGUGCAGCCUUCACAAAAACGUCGCGAAUCCGCACGGUCAAGGCGCGUCGUCGUCGUCGUAUCCGACGAACAGUUUGAAUAUGCGGAGAUCCGCGAUGACGAAUUCGCUGGUGAGGAUCGGUGGCGUCGAAGGAGAGUGGGUGAGGAGAGCCUUGACGACUCUGAUAAGGCCUUCGUCGCAUCAUCUGAGACGAAGGGCUGCUUAUCAGCCUCGUCCGAGUAGGCUAUCGAUUAUGUCGAAAGCCACCGAGUGUAAUUGAUCUUGGUUUUGAUUUCAGUGUUUGUCAGAUUCCCGUGUAUUCGUUUCCCGUGAAGUCGUCGUUCGUUGACCGUCUCGUUCACCGUUGUGCGUUCCGUUGAUUUUCAAGGUAUGCGUUGUUCGUCGUGUGAGGUGGAGUUUGAACUACUUUAGUACCCAGUUACAUGGAAUUGAAAGAUGAACAAAAAAAUUAACCAGCCAGAAGUGACAUAGAAAAAUGGUUUCGAAAUGGUCUUUCUGGAUGAACAUUGAUGACAAAUAUUUCACAUAAGGACUGGAGGAAAAUCAGGAAAAAACGAGAAAGUAUAUUUUGGAUAGAUGAUGACUGACCAAUUAGAAAACGACCGAACAUGAAAAUUAGCAGAGGAUUUGCUGGAAAAUGAAUUUGAAUAAUGAGAAGUUGGGAGUCAUGAUAAUAAUCAUGAAACAUGAAUAUUUGAAAGAGGGGAAAACAAGACGUAAAUUUUUAAAGACACGUUUUAAUGAUCUCGGGCACUAUCAUUCUCGAUUUUAUUCCUAAACAUCCAAGAUACGUCCAUUACUAACAGUAAAUAUUUUUGUUUUU